AUUAGAGACCUUUAAUAAUAUUUGACCGUCAUUUAAAUAAAUUUUUAAAAAAUAAGCGGGAGUUUUUUUUUUUUUGGUGAAAAGAGUUUAAGCGCUGUUUUUUUUUUGGUGUAAAGAGUUUAAGCGCUUUAUUUUCACUAACUUUCUAGAACUCGUUUCUUUCCCUCAUCAUCCACUCUCAGCUCAUCCGGUUCCCCUCUCUCUCCUCUCUGUUCCUCGUCUCUCUCAAUCUCUAUCUCAACUCACCUCCUUUUUUCUCUCUCAUCUCCAAGCAGCGACGAACGUCGUUCCUCCUGUAAGUUUUUUAAUUUUGUAAUGAAUUCACCGGUCAUUUCCUUCGGCAGUCUGCUCGUCUUCGUGCGGAUUCCGUCGCUAUUCAAGCAACUUUAUUUUAUCACCACCACGCUACUGCCUAUCACCAUCACGCCAUGUCAUCGCCAAUCGAACAUCAUUCCGGUAAUUAUUGAUUCAUCUCGAACUCUUACUUGUUUGUUAGGGUAAUUAAAUUACCAUAUUUCUUUUAUUGGAAUUCAUGUUUUUUGUAUAUAUUCAUUGUAAUUGAACUAUUUGCCAUGAUUAUUGUGCAGCAAAUGAAGCUACAAUUGGACUUAAUUUAGUCAUUGACGAUUUGGUACGUACACAAAGGCUUUGGGAUAUGAAAAACAAAGAGGUGAAAAUUUUCUAUAUGUGUGAAAUUCGCAAGGACUUCACAAUCGACGCAACUUUCAAGGGGAAUGCGUCUUGUUUCUUGAAUCAUAGUUGUGAUCCAAACUGCAAAUUGGAGAAAUGAUGCUCCUAUAAUUAUCACCGCCACUAGUGCAGCUCAGGCAGCAGCUGCUACCAUCAAGCAACAAAAAGUUGUCCUGUGAAGCUUCAUCAAUUUGGUAGAGAUGAAAAUCUUCAGAAACUUAUGGAUAUGGCUAGGAGGUCUGAUGCUAGACAGCGUAAAAGAUCUCCUUUGGAUGCUAAGAGAAUGUCGUAUGUUGGAAAUGACUACUCCUAUCCGAGGAUGGAAGGUGAAUCUAGCACUAAUGAGAGUGAAGCUUAUGAGUGAAAUUGUGAUUUGUUACUUCAGAUAGCUGUAGAAUUCUUCAGCGAUGCAGCUGAGGAACCAGUCUAGGUGCUCUAAUUUUUUUAUAAGUUAGUUGAAUUUUUGGAAUCUUCUAACGUUAUAUUGAUAUGUAUAUGAUUUUGUAGUGAAUGAUAUUGAAUGAAAGGUAUUGAAAUUAUAAAGUCA
Molecule: RNA transcript, 1237 nt
Organism: Beta vulgaris subsp. vulgaris (sugar beet)
Lineage: Eukaryota; Viridiplantae; Streptophyta; Magnoliopsida; Caryophyllales; Amaranthaceae
Gene name: histone-lysine N-methyltransferase ASHR3-like
Exons: 3
Source: RefSeq, a predicted model, not a curated record